This 497-nucleotide ribosomal RNA is filed under the name uncultured bacterium. RNAcentral describes it as "partial 16S ribosomal RNA". It matches the Rfam family "Bacterial small subunit ribosomal RNA", at positions 28 to 507 of the family's 1533-position model. The record is from RNAcentral.
GACGAACGCUGGCGGCGUGCCUAAUACAUGCAAGUUGAGCGCUGAAGGUUGGUACUUGUACCAACUGGAUGAGCAGCGAACGGGUGAGUAACGCGUGGGGAAUCUGCCUUUGAGCGGGGGACAACAUUUGGAAACGAAUGCUAAUACCGCAUAAAAACUUUAAACACAAGUUUUAAGUUUGAAAGAUGCAAUUGCAUCACUCAAAGAUGAUCCCGCGUUGUAUUAGCUAGUUGGUGAGGUAAAGGCUCACCAAGGCGAUGAUACAUAGCCGACCUGAGAGGGUGAUCGGCCACAUUGGGACUGAGACACGGCCCAAACUCCUACGGGAGGCAGCAGUAGGGAAUCUUCGGCAAUGGACGAAAGUCUGACCGAGCAACGCCGCGUGAGUGAAGAAGGUUUUCGGAUCGUAAAACUCGGUUGGUAGAGAAGAACGUUGGUGAGAGUAGAAAGCUCAUCAAGUGACGGUAACUACCCAGAAAGGGACGGCUAACUACGUG